Molecule: ribosomal RNA, 207 nt
Filed under: uncultured bacterium
Lineage: Bacteria
Description: partial 16S ribosomal RNA
Rfam family: Bacterial small subunit ribosomal RNA
Source: RNAcentral
AGUGUAGGCGGUUUGACAAGUCGGAUGUGAAAUCCCGGGGCCCAACCCCGGAACUGCAUCCGAUACUGUCUGGCUAGAGUCCCGGAGAGGGUGGCGGAAUUCCCGGUGUAGGGGUGAAAUCCGUAGAUAUCGGGAGGAACACCAGUGGCGAAGGCGGCCACCUGGACGGUGACUGACGCUGAGACUCGAAAGCGUGGGUAGCAAACA